CACUCCUGCGGGAGGCAGCAGUGGGGAAUAUUGGACAAUGGGCGCAAGCCUGAUCCAGCCAUGCCGCGUGAGUGAUGAAGGCCCUAGGGUUGUAAAGCUCUUUCACCGGAGAAGAUAAUGACGGUAUCCGGAGAAGAAGCCCCGGCUAACUUCGUGCCAGCAGCCGCGGUAAUACGAAGGGGGCUAGCGUUGUUCGGAAUUACUGGGCGUAAAGCGCACGUAGGCGGAUCGAUCAGUCAGGGGUGAAAUCCCAGGGCUCAACCCUGGAACUGCCUUUGAUACUGUCGAUCUGGAGUAUGGAAGAGGUGAGUGGAAUUCCGAGUGUAGAGGUGAAAUUCGUAGAUAUUCGGAGGAACACCAGUGGCGAAGGCGGCUCACUGGUCCAUUACUGACGCUGAGGUGCGAAAGCGUGGGGAGCAAACAGGAUUAGAAACCCCUGUAGUCCCAUGA
This 450-nucleotide ribosomal RNA is filed under the name uncultured organism. Its description in RNAcentral is "partial 16S ribosomal RNA". It matches the Rfam family "Bacterial small subunit ribosomal RNA", at positions 334 to 800 of the family's 1533-position model. The record is from RNAcentral.